Molecule: ribosomal RNA, 610 nt
Filed under: uncultured haloarchaeon
Lineage: Archaea; Methanobacteriati; Methanobacteriota; Halobacteria; Halobacteriales; Halobacteriaceae
Description: bacterial SSU rRNA
Rfam family: Archaeal small subunit ribosomal RNA
Source: RNAcentral
UCCAGGCCCUACGGGGCGCAGCAGCGCAGCGARACCUUUACACUGUACGAGAGUGCGAUAAGGGGAUCCCAAGUGCCCGCGCCUAGCGUGGGCUUUUCUGAACCGUAAAAUGGUUCAGGAAUAAGGGCUGGGAAAGACCGGUGCCAGCCGCCGCGGUAACACCGGCAGCUCAAGUGAUGGCCGAUAUUAUUGGGCCUAAAGCGUCCGUAGCCUGCCGUACGGGUCCGUCGGGAAAUCCGCCCGCUCAACGGGCGGACGUCCGGCGGAAACCAUACGGCUUGGGACCAGAGGACCCGAGGGGUACGUCGGGGGUAGGAGUGAAAUCCCGAGAUCCUCGACGGACCGCCGGUGGCGAAAGCGCCUCGGGAAGAUGGAUCCGACGGUCAGGGACGAAAGCUUGGGUCUCGAACCGGAUUAGAUACCCGGGUAGUCCAAGCUGUAAACGAUGUUCGCUAGGUGUGGCGUAGGCUACGAGCCUGCGCUGUGCCAAAGGGAAGCCACGAAGCGAACCGCCUGGGAAGUACGUCUGCAAGGAUGAAACUUAAAGGAAUUGGCGGGGGAGCACUACAAACGGGAGGAGCCUGUGGUUUAAUUGGAUUCACGCCCGGGA